RNAcentral lists this long non-coding RNA (1070 nucleotides) under Marmota monax (woodchuck). The record is from RNAcentral. Lineage: Eukaryota; Metazoa; Chordata; Mammalia; Rodentia; Sciuridae.
UCAGAUUCAGGCAGGAGGAAUUCCCCCUUACUCAGUUUUUUCCCCCACUACUUAUAUCUUCAUUGACUGGGUGAGCCAUCCGUAUUAGGAAAGGCAAUUUGCUGUACUUAAGUCUCUCCAUUAAAAUAGAAACUUCAUCAAGGAAUGCCCUCGCUGGCCUGGGGUUAUGGCUCAGUGGUACAGCGUUUGCCUAGCAUGUGUGAGGCGCACUGGGUUUAUUUCUCAGCACUGCAUAUAAAAAAAUGAGUAAAAUAAAAUGCCCAUCAACAACUAGACAUAUAUUAAAAAAAGAAGUGCCCUUCACUGACACACCCAGGAUAAUGUUUGAUCAAAUGUCACCCUGUGACCUAGUCAAGUUGUCACAUAAAAUGAAUCUUCACAGAUAUACGUGAUAUUUUUAGUUCAUUAGUUUAAUAUAAUAUCCAACCUGCCAGAUCAUUUUGUAAGCGACACCCUUCAUUUCAAAUGCUCAGAGCAAGCAGACAGCUCUGUGGAUGUUCCCACACUUCUAUCCCUAUCAGUUCAGCUAGAUUCUUUUCACAAGUCAGCUGUACUUGAACCUCAACUUUUUUCAAUUAUAUAACUUAGUUUUCCAAUUGUGUAACUUAAUACAUGUUAUGAAAACUGAUCAAAUGCAAAUGCAAAAAGAAGCAAGUUUUGUGUCCAUAAAAACUACAUUGGAUGUUUUAGACAGGAUAAACGUAGAGUAGUUCAAUAUUUUUCAAAUAGGUGUAAAUAUGACAAUGAUAAAAUAUUGGGAGGGGAGGGGACUAGGAUUCUGAACUCAAUUUUUUUCCCAAGUGUCUUUCAGUUCUUGUUUCAUUUUUUAAAAAACUGAAACUUGAAAUCCUAGAGAGAGUGUUAUUGUUGUAGUUCAUGCAAAAAGUUUGGUUAUGGGUUAACCAGGGGGAAUUCCAAUCAGGUGACCUCUCUCAAAGAAAGGAUACUGACCUCAAAAUAAAAGACUGGAAAAUGGCAAAAAUGGCAGAUGAAUAUAUAUAUAUAUAUAUAUAUGUAUAAUAUAAAUAUUAUAUAAUGAUAUAUUAAAAUAAAAUAUUUCAUUUAAAUGU